AGUUACUACGGACACCCUGCAAUACUCUCUUGACUGAAAUGCCACUGUAGUUUCAACACUUUGGAAUAACCACAUACCCAUUUGGUAUGUUGUUCUGCAUUUUUCCCAGAUGAGUCCACUCUUGGUGUUUACCUCUGCCUCCGGUUCUUCUACAAGAGUAGAGUCCAGCAUUGACUGAAGGACGACUGAAUAGAACCGAUCCUGACACCAUGUCAAAAGAGAAACUAGAGUCACUGGUCAAGAAUAUGGAGAUCAUGCUCUCUGAGGUAGAGCAGCUGAAGAUCCACUGCACCAAGCAGACGGAGGAGGUGAACCAGGUGGUACAGGAGCUGCGCCGGGAGAACAAAGAGCUGACAGAGAAAUAUGAGCACAUCUGUCAGGACUUGAAGGAAGCCAAGGAGGCUAUUGCCCAGUUGCAGGACACCAAGUUUGCAUUUGAGGCAAAGGAGCGGCAAGCACAGAAGCUCAACCGGCAGCUGUGAAGCAGUAGGAAAGAGAAGGAACCUGCUCUAAGAAUAAAGAGAAACCUUCAGCUGCUGCAACCAAAAAUCCCUGGAUCGGUAUUUUAAAGCAACUCUUUCCCUUCCUGCUCUGACUAAACCUGUGUGCUGGAAAAAAAAAAUUUUGUGGAGGCAAGAUCUCAGAUGCAGCUGGAGUUCUGCCCCAGAAGGCUCUUUUGUUAAUGACUAAAUGCCUCAUUAUGCUGGGAGGGAAAUCUUAUUCCAGAAUCCCUUGUCAGAAAUCUGAGCCACAGGCAUACAGCAACGACUGCCAGGAUCUGGGCACCUUCUCAUGCCCUGUGGGGGUUGCACAAGGACAGAAUCCAGGAAAAGAACUGUCUCUGCCUUGAGCCACUGGAGAGAGUUGUGCUGUGAGACUUCAUCGAGACAGAGGGAAGGAUCAUCGUCUUGACAGCCCCUGUUGCUCUGUUUCAUUGCUAGCUUUUUUCUGUGCACAGCCAGGCUGUGAUGCUGUCCUUAGAUGAGCGUCAGCUUCCUCGCUGGCUGACACUGAAGGGCGCCAAUGGGAGCCAACAUUGUGCCUCAAACUUCCAAGUACUUGCUAUCAAGGGCGUGUUGGUCCAGAGGAUCUUUUAAUGCUGUUGCAGUCGAUCUUGUCUUCUUUCAAUUUCAAAGUGAAGUAAAGAACUAGAAUGGUUUCUGUC
RNAcentral lists this long non-coding RNA (1165 nucleotides) under Gallus gallus (chicken). RNAcentral's name for it is "lncRNA (ENSGALG00010023690.1)". Lineage: Eukaryota; Metazoa; Chordata; Aves; Galliformes; Phasianidae. The record is from RNAcentral.